RNAcentral lists this ribosomal RNA (560 nucleotides) under Malassezia furfur. Its description in RNAcentral is "eukaryotic LSU rRNA". It matches the Rfam family "Eukaryotic large subunit ribosomal RNA", at positions 106 to 653 of the family's 3401-position model. The record is from RNAcentral. Lineage: Eukaryota; Fungi; Basidiomycota; Malasseziomycetes; Malasseziales; Malasseziaceae.
AGCUCAAAUUUGAAAGCUGGUACCUUCGGUAUCCGCGUUGUAACCUCGAGACACGUUUUCCGUGCGGCGCUAUGGACAAGUUCCUUGGAACAGGACAUCGUAGAGGGUGAAAAUCCCGUACUUGCCAUGGAUGUACCGUGCUUUGCGAUACGUGCUCUAAGAGUCGAGUUGUUUGGGAUUGCAGCUCAAAAUGGGUGGUAGACUCCAUCUAAAGCUAAAUAUCGGGGAGAGACCGAUAGCGAACAAGUACCGUGAGGGAAAGAUGAAAAGCACUUUGGAAAGAGAGUUAAAAGUACGUGAAAUUGUCGAAAGGGAAGCGCUUGAAGUCAGCCAUGCCGCUCAGGACUCAGCCUGGCUUUUGCUUGGUGUAUUUCCUGGGUAGCAAGUCAGCAUUGGUUUGGAUCGUCGGAGAAGCAUAGUCGGAAUGUGGCGCCCUCGGGCGUGUUAUAGCCUUCUAUUGGAUACGACGAUCUAGACCAAGGAACGCAGCGCGCCUUAUGGCGGGUCUUCGGACACCUUCGCGCUUAGGAUGCUGGCGUAAUGGCUUUAAGUGGCCCGUC